This 253-nucleotide ribosomal RNA is filed under the name uncultured bacterium. RNAcentral describes it as "partial 16S ribosomal RNA". It matches the Rfam family "Bacterial small subunit ribosomal RNA", at positions 524 to 776 of the family's 1533-position model. The record is from RNAcentral.
CACGUAGGGGCCAAGCGUUGUCCGGAUUUAUUGGGCGUAAAGAGCGUGUAGGCGGUUUGGUAGGUCCGCUGUGAAAACUCGAGGCUCAACCUCGAGACGCCGGUGGAAACCAUCAGACUAGAGUCCGGAAGAGGAGAGUGGAAUUCCUGGUGUAGCGGUGAAAUGCGCAGAUAUCAGGAGGAACACCGGUGGCGAAGGCGGGUCUCUGGGCCGAUACUGACACUGAGGAGCGAAAGCGUGGGGAGCGAACAGG